UCUUGCCCCGAAGGCAUUGGACCCAGGGCUUUAACAGCUGGAAGACAAUCCCCCAGUCAAAUGUGGAAAGGCAAAAAGGGUAUAUUUUUCCCAUGUCCACAGCAAAAUUCCAAAGGGUGGUCCUUGGGAAGUCAAGGUGGACCUGACGGAAGAGGUUCACCAAAUUAGAAGGGAGGUGGAGCCCGACGGUUUUAUCCACGAGGUCCCAAAAUUAAAACUGCAAGUGGAACUUGAUGUGCUGGAGGGGACAUUAAAAGAUGCAGACCAGCGGACAUCAUUGGUUCAUUUGCUGGCCAAAGUAGGGGGCAAGACGGUGAAGGAUGCAACCAAUAAAAUAUUGGACAGGUAUGAACAUCAUACAGACACUGUAAUAUCUGCCAAAUAUAGAAGUCAAAAGUAAACCAUAAACAAACAACUGAAAUUGCAGGGAUACAUUAUGGAGGAAUUACUGGCAGUUGAAAAUGCGGAAGUGACCCUAUUUUGUGAUUCUCAGACUUUUCACAAACCAAUUAAUGCCCACUUUCAACAUGAAAGGGGGUGGCCAAAAAAACAAGAAGGCUUUUAGGGUUACUGGGCUGUACGCGGUGAUUAAAAGGUAUGUUCAGAUAUGUAAAAUACAUUUAAUGAGUGGUUGUACUGUAAAAGUCUAUUUUCAUGUUGAUAUAUAAUCAAUAAGGCUGUCAUGCGGCCAUACAGCAGUGCCACAGAGGCAGAGGUUAAUAAGGCGAUGGCGGACCAUUUGAAGCAGGCUCCUGGGAGGUCCGGUGGGGGCGGUUUUUAAAAAAGGAGACGUCACAGACCGGACGUAACUAGUUCAAUUGUUGGAUCAGAAUGUUCUUUUGCAGUUUCAGUUCACAUGUAUAUUUCUUUUAAAUAUUUUUAUAUUUUAUGAAAUACUCAUAUUUAGACUUGUAUGAUUGUUUUUAAGAAUCAUUAUGUAUGUUGUAAUUAUAUUGUUUAUUAAUAAUAAAUACUAAUUAAUGAAACAA
This is a long non-coding RNA of Gasterosteus aculeatus aculeatus (three-spined stickleback), 989 nucleotides long. The record is from Ensembl. Lineage: Eukaryota; Metazoa; Chordata; Actinopteri; Perciformes; Gasterosteidae.